Molecule: long non-coding RNA, 330 nt
Filed under: Ananas comosus (pineapple)
Lineage: Eukaryota; Viridiplantae; Streptophyta; Magnoliopsida; Poales; Bromeliaceae
Description: long non-coding RNA (ACOM_LNC037588)
Source: RNAcentral
UUAAAAAUAAAAUUAAUCUAGCAAUCAUGUGUAUAAAAUGUUCUCUUGUUUAGCUAAAUGUUGCAUCUAAUUGGUUGGGUAACUUACAAAAUAUUUGCACAUGAAAGCUAAGGGCAAAAUUGGUAUUUAUAAAAUUAAUCUAACACUUUUUGUCACUAUUCUUAUUUAUUCCAAGAAACUUACCAAACAUAAUUUCUGUUAUUUUCAGAAAUAAUCGUUUUACAAACCAAAUACUAUUUUAUUUUUAUCCCUGAUUAUUCUAGAAUAGCAGACUAUUCCAGAAUUAAACAAAUUUAUCCCCAAAAUCAUUAUUCCCGAACUAAAUGGUAC